AGGAUUUGAGCCUGAAGCAUAUCCAUGGUGCAAUAGGUGGUCCAAGUAAGAUUAAUGGUGCCAGGCUACUGUUCUUAGUUCUCACCAUGAUGCCAAGAUCCAAUCAAGGUUUAAGCUGGCCAUUUUGAAUGCAUAACUAUAAGAUGCAUCAGAGCAAUACAAGAACAGAUCCAGAAUGGAAAGAACUAGAAUUAACUCGCAGCAAGAAAGCAAUUUCACCAUAAGUCACCAGGACCAUGGAAAAUUUUUGACAGCUCACAACAUAAACGGCUUUUAGUAAAUUUCAUAAAACAUUUCAUGGACCAUAUUAUUCCAUGAAGGUAUUCAAUUAUUCAAUCUAGAUAUUUAACUCAUACGUGUUCCUGUUUUUGGUGAGCA
Molecule: unclassified non-coding RNA, 378 nt
Filed under: Hevea brasiliensis (rubber tree)
Lineage: Eukaryota; Viridiplantae; Streptophyta; Magnoliopsida; Malpighiales; Euphorbiaceae
Source: RNAcentral